Molecule: long non-coding RNA, 1458 nt
Filed under: Mustela putorius furo (domestic ferret)
Lineage: Eukaryota; Metazoa; Chordata; Mammalia; Carnivora; Mustelidae
Description: lncRNA (ENSMPUG00000029903.1)
Source: RNAcentral
AAACACGCACGCGCAAUCAUCUUGGUACCAGGGCCUGUCUCGGAAGCAGCGUCCGCUAGGGAGAUGCGAGUGCAAACCGCUCAGCAGGGACAAGAUCCCGGGAAACACGGGUCGGGGGGACAGUCCGUGCGGGCUGUGCCUGUCCACAGCUCGUGCCGCGGGCAGGGCCGACUGCACUGCUCCAGGCCCUCCGGGAGACGGCGCCCCCUCCGCGGGGCUUCUCCACCCACGCCCAGCCAUCCCUGCUGGAAGGAUGAUCCGAGACCGGCCUGUGGUCACUCCCCCUUCAAGUCUCCUGUGGCCUCUCUAACGAACCGGGGGCUUCGACAGCAGACACUUACGGCGUCCCAGCCUGGAGGCCGGAAGCCCCAGAUCCAAGCAGGGGCAGGGCUGGGGCCUUCUGAAGCUGGGGCAGGGAGGGGGCUGAAUCUGCGCCGCGCCUCUCUCCUGGCGUCCGGGGCUGUGCUCCCACCGCUGUGUCCGGAUCUCACGCCUUGUGAGGACACGUUCAUCUCGGCUGAGGGCCGACGGCAGUGUCCACAUCUGAACUCUGUAUCUGCAAAGUGCCAACUUCCGCAGGGGUGGGGUGGGGGGGGUGUUGGGGCUCCCACAUCUUUCGUGGGGGGCACCGUUCAACUCACAACAAACCCCCACCCCCACCCUCCAGCUCUUCCAGCCAUGCCCAGGCCAGUGAGGAAAACCCUGCACCGAGUUUCCGUUGUCACAGGGCUAGAACACAAGCUCCAUGGGGAGCACCACCACCACCCCCGAUCCUAGUUUGCCCAGGACCAAGGAGCGUCCUGGGACACCGGACAUUUGGUCACUCCAGCUGCAUGAAAGCAAGGACUCGGUCUGUUUUGUUCACGGCUGUAUGUCCAGAGCUCCAGGGCCUGACACAGAGCAGACCUUAAAUAAACGUUAAUUGAGCGAAAACAAGGACAAACAAAUGCAUGAACGAGGUUGUCCCCUGUCUGCAAUCCUACAACAUAACCGACAGCCUGCAGUAGAUUCUUCCAUGCUUUGAGCACACAUAAUAUAGAGGUUCUUUUUCCUCAAAAGAAAAAGGAAAAAAAGGAAUCACAGGCAUGAAUCAGCGAUUUGCUUUAUCACUUAUCAACAUAUAGUACAACUCUUGGAUCACUACAUAGAGAUCUGCCUAAUUCUUCUUAACUGGCUCAGGAUGUCCACAAUACUGAAUGGGCCAUAACCAUAAUGUAUCCUAUUAUUCACCUAUGGGUAACGUUAUGUUUCCAAUGACCACCAGGGGACACGAUGCACAAAUAAAAUAUCUUUGCACACAGAUUUUAAGAUUUUGGCCAUUUCAUUUCUAUUAGAUAGGUUCCUAAAGGUCAAGGGGACUGAGGGUUUGUAAUUUAAACAGACAUCAGGGCUGACCUUAGGUAGGACAACGCAGAGAAAGGUCACAGAGCCCAUCAUAGCCAGGCUGUGAAGGAAGAG